GGCGCGAAGUGACGUCAACGCGCUAACGGUCGAAGCGGUGGCGGAUUGGGGGGGAGGGGAGAAGCGUCCUCCACUAAAAACAUCUGAGCGGUGGUGAUAGACACUGCGGCCUUCACUCUCCACCGGGAAUGAGGGAAUAAAGAGACCGCGGACGGAAGGAGGGGAAAUAAAAGGAUCAAGAGCAAGUACAAGCUGUGAAGAAUCACCGUACUUCACCCGGCACAGAGUGCAGAGUCUCGGAGGGAGAAGAGGAGGAGAGAGAUAGAUGCUUUCUGCCUACAGGCUCUGAAGGUUUCUUCUCGACUGCUGUUCCUGAAACAUUUGGCAUUUUAAUGUCCUGUAGUUCAGCCCAACCAGAGGGCUAUUGUCUGGUGAAAUUUCCUAAACUCAAAAGACCAUCAAGUGAUGCUCAGUCUCUGAAUUCUCCCUGUUAAUGCUUCAAAGCGCAACACUGUCAAUGCUUUUCCAUCAAGCUUUCAGACAUGAUGUGAGGCUUCUCUGGAACAGGUAGAACUUCAGCCCAGGCCUUCCAGCUCAGAGGUAGGGGCACAACCAGUGCACCAAAAGAGCCCAAAAUCAAAUUGUAUUGCCUGCUUGGUAAUAUUAUGACUUGAUUUCAAAGUGAAAAAUACCCCGUUUAUUCCAGAUGUAUCAGUCUAACUUACAAGUUGUUGUCCCAAAAAAGAAAAGAUCCCAUCUAUUACAAUUUGCAUUUUUUAAUUCAUUUUGGGGACCGAGGCAUUGCUGCCUGGGCCAAUAUUUAUUGCCUGACGUUAGUCGACCCUUAAACAGUCAUCCAUUUUGUGUCAGGGAGGGAAUUCCAAGAUUUUGAUGCAGCGACACUGAAUGAACAGUGAUACGGUAUGUUUCCAAGUCAGGAUGGUGAGCGGCUUGGAGGUUGGCGUUCCCAUGUGUGGGCUGCCCUUGUCCUUCCCGAUGGAAGCGGCCUUAGGGUUUGGAAGGUGCUGUCUGAGGAUCUUUGGUGAGUUUCUGCGGUGCAUCUUGUAGAUGGUAUACACUGCUGUUACUGAGCAUCGGUGGUAGAGGGAGCGGGUGAUUGUGAAUGUGGUGUCAAUCAAGCAAGCUGCUGUGUCCUAAAUAUUGUCAAGCUUCUCGAGUACUGUUGGAGCUGCCCCUAUCCACACAAGUGGGGAGUGUUCCCUCCCCCUCCUGCCUUGUGCCUUGUCGAUGGUGGGACAGGGCUUUGCGGAGUCAGGAGGUGAGUUACUCGCUGCACGAUUCCCAGCCUCUGACCUGCUGCUGUAGCCACUUUGUUUAUGUGGCUGGGUCUGCGUCAGUUUGUGGUCAGUGGUAACCCCCCCAGGAUGUUGAUGGGGUGCAGGGUGGUGGGAUUCAGUGGUGAUAACACCAUUGAAUGUCAUGUGGGCAAGGGUUAGAUUCUGAAUGGUAAACCCCAGGGUGUUGAUAGUUGGGGGGAUCCCAUUACCAUCCUCCUGCCUUGUCGAUGGUGGGACACGCUUUGGGGAGUUAGGAGGAUGGUAAUAUUGAAUGUGAAGACAAAGUGUUGUUGAAGAUGGUCAAUGAGUGAGAUUUGUGCAGUGACAGUGUCACUUGCUACUUCUCAGCCCAUGUCUGGAUAUUGUCCAGAUCUUGUAGCAUUUGAACAUGGAUUGCUUCAGUAUCCGAGGAAUCACAAAUGGAGCUGAACAUUGUGCAAUCAUUGUCGAAUAUCCCCACUUCUGACCUUAUGAUGGAAGGUAGGUCAUUGAUGAAGCAGCUGAAGAUGGCUGGGACUAGGAUACUACCGUCAGAAACUCCUGCAGAGAUGUCCUGGAGCUGAGAUGACUGACCUCCAACAACCACAACCAUCUUCCUAUGUGUCAGGUGUGACUCCAAACACCGGAGGGCUUGCCUCCAGAUUCCAUUUUUGCUGGGGCUCCUUGAUGCCACACAUGGUUGAAUACAGCGUUGAUGUUGAGGGCUGUCACUCUCGCCUCCCGUGUGGAAUUCAGCCCUUUUGUCCACGUUUGAACUAAUGUCAGGAGCUGAGUGGCCCUGGCAGAACCCAAACUAGGUGUCACUGAGCAGCUGCUGCUUCGUAACACCUUCCAUCACUUUCCUGACAAUCAGGAAUAGACUGAAGGGGCAGUAAUUGGCCGGGUUGGAUUUGCCCUGCUUUUCUGUGUACAAGACACAACUUGGAUGAUUUUCCACAUUGUCGGGUAGACACCAGUGUACUGGAAUGCCUUGGCUAGGGGAGCAGCAAGUUCUGGAACACAAGUCUUUGCCAGAAUAUUGUCAGGGCCCAUAGCUUUUGCAGUAUCUGGUGCCUCCAGCUGUUUCUUGAUAUCAUGUGGAGUGAGUCAAAUUGGCUGAAGACUGGUAUCUGUGAUGCUGGGGUCCACUGGAGGAGGCUGCGAUGGAUCAUCCACUCGGCACUUCUGGCUGAAGAUUGCUACAAAAAGUUUUGCCUUAUCUUUUGCACUGACGUUCUGGCUUGUCCAUCCUCGAGGAGGGGGCUAUUUGGGGAGCUUCCUCCUCCAGUGAGCUGUUUAAUUUCCACCACCAUUCCUAACUGGAUGUGGCUGGACUGCAGAGCUUAGAUCUGUGUACCACUUGGCACUUUUAGCUCAGCUCUGGAGUCCUGCCACAUCCAGUCAGGGAUGUCUCAUUUGGCCCUUAGGCAGCAGUUUGGCAACAGAUUUGUGAGACAAGUCAGAGCCCAUGGAGUAAAAGGGACAGUAGCAACAUGAAUAUAAACUGGUCUGAGGGAUAGGAAACAACAUGCAGUGGUCAGUGCGUCAUUCCUGGACUGGAUGGAACGUUUGAAGUGGAGGUCCCCAGUUGUUGGGACCAUUGCUUUUCCUGAUAUAUCACUGAUCUAUACCCUGGUGGGGACAGUUUUGAAGAUUGGAGAUGAUCCAAAGCAUUGUCAUUUGUUGAGGAGAACAGUGUAGUUCAAAAGUACAUCAGUGAGUUGGUGAAAUGGGCAAACAGGUGGCAGAUGAAGUUCAACACAGAGAACAGCGAGAUGACACAUUUUGGUCAAAAAACAGGAUGAGGUAAAGACUAAAGGAGAUGACAGCCGUUAAUAAAUCAUUCAGUACCCCUUGGCCUUAUUAUUAGAGGAGUAGAACACAACAGCAAGGCUGUGGUGAAGCUGAACAGGACACUGGUUAGACUUCAACUGGAAGACUGUGGACCAUUUUCAGAAAGGAUACAAACAACUGGAGAGGUUGCAGAAGAAAGUUUUGAGAAUUAUACAAAGAGGAAGCAUGAGAAAAUGUUAACGCAUAAGAUAGGCAUUUCAUAAGUAAAUUAGGGGCAAAGGGAUAAGCAGAGAACAGAGUGUGGCCCAUGAUGGACUUUAUUGGAUGGAGCCAAAAGACAUACAUUAAGUUUUAAAUGAGUAUUCAUGAUAGGGGAGAAAUGAGCAAGGGAGGGCGUGAAAUCUGAUAGAAACCUAUAGAAUUCCAACAAGACUAAACAGGGUCAGCGCAGAAGGAUGUUCCCGAUGACUGGGGUGGUUCGAGGUGGAGGGGUUGGGGCAUCCGGAACCAGGGGGUGACAGUCUAGAGGAGACUGGUGUAGGACUGAGAUGAGGAGAAAUGGCUUCACCCAGAGAGUGGGGGAGCCUGUGGGAUUCUCUGUCACAGGAAGCGUUCAGGGCCAAAGCAUUGAUUAGAUUAGAUUAGAUUAGAUUCCCUACAGUGUGGAAACAGGCCCUUCAGCCCAACAAGUCCACACUGCCCCUUGAAGCAUCCCACCCAGACCCAUCCCCUAUAACCCACACACCCCUGAACACUAUGGGCUAUUUAGCAUGGCCGAUCCACCUAGCCUGCACAUCUUUGGACUGUGGGAGGAAACCGGAGCACCCGGAGGAAGUUAGAUAACAGAUCUUAGAGUUAAAGGGAAUGGGGGACACAGGGGACAGAGUUAAAUGAUCGGCCAUGAUCCUGUUGAAUAGCAGAGCAGGCUUGAGGGGCUGAUCAAGAAUCUGUUUGAAAAUAUACCACAAGGAUUCUACCCACACAGCUGCUGUGGCAAGGAGUUCCAGAGAUACACAACCCUCAGAGAGAAGAAGUUCCUCCUUAUCUCAGUCUUCAUUUGGCGCCCUUUUAUCCUGAGACUAUGAUGCUCUGGUCCUAGUCACUCCCAUGAUAGGGAAGCAUUCUCUCAGCAUUUACUUCAGCGAGUACAGUUGCAACCUAUUUAAACUUAGCUCAUCUGUACCGGGGACCGAGGAGCAAGUUAGACUUACGGGAUCAUAACAAUUAUUUGGACAGCGGGUGCAGUCUCAAUGGGCCGAGAGGCCUCCCCAGGGGAUAGUCUGAGAAGCAGUUUGGAUGAAGAGUCAAUGAACUCAAAAUGUUGAUUCUGCUUUCUCCCCACAGAGACAGGCAGACCUGCUGAGUUUCGCCUACAAUUUCUGUUUCAGUUCAGGAGAGAUGUUAGGAAGCACUUUGAGACAGAAAGAGACUAGAUGUUUGGAACUAUCUUCUACAAGUAGCACUGGAUGCAGGAUUAGUUGGUCAUUUUAGAUCUGAAAUAGGUAUUUUUUUAUUAAGCAAAUGUAUUGAAUGAUAAGGGCCAAAGGCUGGUACUGUGGAGCUAAGCUGCUUGCAUCUAAAAGGACAAAAGCAGCAGAUACAUGGAAACACGAGUCCCUGCAAGUUCCCCCGACCCACUCAUCAUCCUGACUUGGAAAUACACCAGUGAUGCUGAUAACAAGGGGUCAGCUGGCUGAACCUCAUAAAAUAAGAGUUCCCUGAGGUGGUUGUCAAUCUCGUCCAAUCAGGGAGCCCUGACUGACAUAAAAGGAUAAAUGUCAGGGAUAUUGAUCCCCUGGAUGCCUGACGCAGUGAGAGGCUGUGCUAUUGACAACAGUUAUGCAUUUGUAAAUAAAGGGUGAUCAGGAAUGGGAUGCCAGCGUCUGAAGAGUUUUUGACAGUGAGAGUAAUGCAUGAUCCUGAAGAAACUCGCUCACAGCAGUCAUUUUGAAGUAGAGGGUAAACAUUUUCUUACAUCAUGCCUCCGUUUGGAAAACUUGACUUGUUCAACCUUGUCAUUGAGGACUGGGCCCAGUAUGUGGAAAGAAUGCUUUACUUUUUCCAGACAUUGUGGCAAGUAAUUCUCCUGAAAUCCUGUGGGUCUGUAGCUUUUUCUGUCAUUAGGAGCCCAACAUGCACUGACGCACCAGAUACUAAAAACUUUCAAGAAUUAAUGUACAUAGCUAAAAAAUAUUAUGUCCCCAAGCCUCCUGUAAUUCAGAGACACUGUUGCUUA
Molecule: long non-coding RNA, 5247 nt
Organism: Stegostoma tigrinum
Lineage: Eukaryota; Metazoa; Chordata; Chondrichthyes; Orectolobiformes; Stegostomatidae
Exons: 3
Source: RefSeq, a predicted model, not a curated record